Molecule: ribosomal RNA, 253 nt
Filed under: uncultured bacterium
Lineage: Bacteria
Description: partial 16S ribosomal RNA
Rfam family: Bacterial small subunit ribosomal RNA
Source: RNAcentral
UACGAAGGGGGCUAGCGUUGCUCGGAAUCACUGGGCGUAAAGGGUGCGUAGGCGGGUCUUUAAGUCCGGGGUGAAAUCCUGGAGCUCAACUCCAGAACUGCCUUUGAUACUGAAGAUCUUGAGUUCGGGAGAGGUGAGUGGAACUGCGAGUGUAGAGGUGAAAUUCGUAGAUAUUCGCAAGAACACCAGUGGCGAAGGCGGCUCACUGGCCCGGUACUGACGCUGAGGUGCGAAAGCGUGGGGAGCAAACAGG